UAACUAGCAAAGAGACCUUGUUUCAACAUCAAAUAUGUUUCCGUAAGGCCAGAUUCUUGGGCAAAGUUGUUUUAGCGAUCUGGUUGCAACUAAGGUAUCCUGUAAGAACAAAUUGCUGCCUCCUCCAGGUGGAAAGGGAUCAAAUAUAAUUAAUCUGUGUGUGCCACACAGUAGCUUGAUAGUUUAAUUGAGGAAUGUUGACAUAUUGAGAGCUCAGCAUUACUUUCUGCUAUCAGCAGUGACGAAGCCAGUGCCUGGGAUUCUGAGAUGCAGCCACAUCAUAAAGUUUCAUUACUCAAUUGCAGUAGAGAAAACCUCAAAGGAACCACUUCUAAUGGAAACUGCCUCAAUUCCUGGUCAAGUCUCACAGUCUAACCUGGAGGUGCUCUGAGAUGUGACUAAGUUAAGGAUUUUGAGAUGAAGAGACCAUCCUGAAUUAUCUGAGUGGGUCCUGAAUGUCAUCACAAGAAGCCUUAGAAGAGAGAAGCAUGAAAACCAGAAGAGGAGGAAGAGGCAACCGGGCCAUGAAGACAAGAGAUUAGAGUGAUGUGGCCACAAGUCAAGAAGUGCCGGCCUCCAGCAAAAAACUGGAAGUCAGGAGCAGGAUCUCUCCUAGAGCCUGUGGAGGGAAUGUAACCCUGCCAAUAACUUGAUUUUGGCCCAGAGAAACUGACUUCAGACUUCUGGCCUUCAGGAUGGCGAGAGAAUUAAAUCGCUGUUGUUUUUAGCCCAGUAUGUGGUAAUUUUGUUACAACAGCCACAGAAAACUAGUACAGUGGAUUUUUAGCAGUAGAAUUAAAUUAGCAGUGGAUUAAAGAGCAGUAGAAUUGUGAUUUUAUCAACACUUACUGGAUGGCAGAUUUCCUCUGCAGCAGAAGAGAAUAAAAUGUUGCCUAGGUGAUGCUGACCACCAAAACUUCUGCCAUGGACUCAGCAGUGUGAACAGACCCUGGGAAUCUAUGUACACAUAAAACACCAUGAACAUUUUGCAUUUUCUGAUUUGAACUGAAUAGGCG
This 1016-nucleotide long non-coding RNA is filed under the name Homo sapiens (human). RNAcentral describes it as "non-protein coding lnc-KCNJ3-7:3". Lineage: Eukaryota; Metazoa; Chordata; Mammalia; Primates; Hominidae. The record is from RNAcentral.